AACGAACGCUGGCGGCAUGCCUAACACAUGCAAGUCGAACGAGACCUUCGGGUCUAGUGGCGCACGGGUGCGUAACGCGUGGGAACCUGCCCUUAGGUUCGGAAUAACUCCCCGAGAGGGGUGCUAAUACCGGUUAAUGUCUUCGGACCAAAGAUUUAUCGCCUUUGGAUGGGCCCGCGUUGGAUUAGCUGGUUGGUAGGGUAAAAGCCUACCAAGGCCACGUUCCAUAGCUGGUCUGUGAGGAUGAUCAGCCACACUGGGACUGAGACACGGCCCAGACUCCUACGGGAGGCAGCAGAGGGGAAUAUUGGACGAGGGGCGAAAGCCUGAUCCAGCAAUGCCGCGUGAGUGAGGAAGGCCUUAGGGUUGUAAAGCUCUUUUACCCGGGAUGAUAAUGACAGUACCGGGAGAAUAAGCCCCGGCUAACUACGUG
RNAcentral lists this ribosomal RNA (433 nucleotides) under uncultured bacterium. RNAcentral's name for it is "partial 16S ribosomal RNA". It matches the Rfam family "Bacterial small subunit ribosomal RNA", at positions 29 to 507 of the family's 1533-position model. The record is from RNAcentral.